AAGUCGUAACAAGGUUUCCGUAGGUGAACCUGCGGAAGGAUCAUUAUUGAAGCUCGGAAUGCAUGUUCGGUGCUGAUGCUGCCCAGCGAUGGGAUGUGCUCGCUCGGAUGUGUGUCCCUUCUCUAUUCCACCCCUUUGUGAACCAAGUGUGCGGGCCGAUGAGAGAUCGGAGGCUCGCAUGCAAACCCUUAACAUACCCCAAUGAAGUAUCAGAAUGUAACUUGCGUUAACUCGCACAAAUACAACUUUCAACAACGGAUCUCUUGGCUCUC
This 272-nucleotide unclassified non-coding RNA is filed under the name air metagenome. Its description in RNAcentral is "partial contains small subunit ribosomal RNA, internal transcribed spacer 1, and 5.8S ribosomal RNA". The stretch from base 1 to 46 matches the Rfam family "Eukaryotic small subunit ribosomal RNA", at positions 1786 to 1831 of the family's 1831-position model. The record is from RNAcentral.